RNAcentral lists this ribosomal RNA (367 nucleotides) under uncultured organism. Its description in RNAcentral is "bacterial SSU rRNA". It matches the Rfam family "Bacterial small subunit ribosomal RNA", at positions 526 to 896 of the family's 1533-position model. The record is from RNAcentral.
CGUAGGUGGCAAGCGUUGUCCGGAUUUAUGGGUUUAAAGGGUGCGUAGGCGGCCCUGUAAGUCAGUGCUGAAAUAUCCCGGCUUAACCGGGAGGGUGGCAUUGAUACUGCAGGGCUUGAGUAAAGUUGAGGUUGGCGGAAUUGACGGUGUAGCGGUGAAAUGCUUAGAUAUCGUCAAGAACACCGAUAGUGAAGACAGCUAACUAAGCUUUAACUGACGCUGAGGCACGAAAGUGUGGGGAUCAAACAGGAUUAGAUACCCUGGUAGUCCACACUGUAAACGUUGAUUACUCGAUGUUGGCGAUACACAGUCAGCGUCUUAGCGCAAGCGAUAAGUAAUCCACCUGGGGAGUACGCCGGCAACGGUG